UAAUACGGAGGGGGUUAGCGUUGUUCGGAAUUACUGGGCGUAAAGCGUACGUAGGCGGAUUAAUAAGUUAGAGGUGAAAUCCCAGGGCUCAACCCUGGAACUGCCUUUAAAACUGUUAGUCUUGAGAUCGAGAGAGGUGAGUGGAAUUCCAAGUGUAGAGGUGAAAUUCGUAGAUAUUUGGAGGAACACCAGUGGCGAAGGCGGCUCACUGGCUCGAUACUGACGCUGAGGUACGAAAGUGUGGGGAGCAAACAGGAUUAGAUACCCUGGUAGUCCACACCGUAAACGAUGAAUGCCAGACGUCAGCAAGCAUGCUUGUUGGUGUCACACCUAACGGAUUAAGCAUUCCGCCUGGGGAGUACGGUCGCAAGAUUA
Molecule: ribosomal RNA, 375 nt
Filed under: uncultured Paracoccaceae bacterium
Lineage: Bacteria; Pseudomonadati; Pseudomonadota; Alphaproteobacteria; Rhodobacterales; Paracoccaceae
Description: bacterial SSU rRNA
Rfam family: Bacterial small subunit ribosomal RNA
Source: RNAcentral